CGAUACAGAGAUUAGCAUGACCCCUGCACUAGGAUGACGUGCAAAUUCAUGAAGUGUUCCAUAUUUUC
Molecule: small nuclear RNA, 68 nt
Filed under: Sus scrofa (pig)
Lineage: Eukaryota; Metazoa; Chordata; Mammalia; Artiodactyla; Suidae
Source: RNAcentral